ACUGAACACGAUUCGCACAGGUAGUUCGUCCAACAGUCUCCAACAGACAAGAGUGAGAACGGUCCAUGUGAGAGUUUCAUCAUCCUUUAUUUUACAUAAAUCACAUCUUUCAGGUAAAUCAAUAAAACUACAAAAAAAAAAAGAAAGAGGACUUACGAAUUUUGGAAGUUGAUCGAUAACAUAUUGAUUGAAUUGAGAACAUCGACAACGAAUUUGAAGAAUGAUCGAUCGAAUAAAACUCGUCGUAAGUAGGGGUGUUUCGUGGUUCAGAAAGGAAAGGAACAAGAGGAUGAGAAUUUAAACGAAAU
This is a long non-coding RNA of Vespa crabro (European hornet), 308 nucleotides long. RefSeq lists it as uncharacterized. Lineage: Eukaryota; Metazoa; Arthropoda; Insecta; Hymenoptera; Vespidae. The transcript is spliced from 3 exons. The record is from RefSeq and is a predicted model, not a curated record.